GUUUGAGAGUGCCAAGGGACUCCUGCAAUCUGCCAUAAAGAACCAGGGCUGGAUGGUUCCCAGACCCAAGCUGGCACCAGUGGAAACUGGGGCUAGUUUUACAGUGCUAAGGGACUCCUGCAAUCUGCCAUAAAGGAGCAGGGAUGGAUGGUUCCCAGACCCAAGCUGGCACCAGUGGCAACUCGGGUGCUUUCAGAGUGCCAAGGGACUCCUGCAAUCUGUCAUAAUGUACCAUGGAUGGAUGGUUCCCAGACCCAAGCUGGCACCAGUGGCAACUCGGGCUGGUUUGAGAGUGCCAAGGGACUCCUGCAAUCUGCCAUAAAGAACCAGGGCUCGUGAGUUUUCUUUGGAGUGAAAAGGGCUAUAGUUUUUGUCUGGGGUGCUGUGGCUGGGAGUGGCUGGCUGGCUCCUGAAAUUCGGUGAUUUUCAGGAUGGUUCCCAGACCCAAGCUGGCACCAGAGGCAACUCGGGUGCUUUGAGAGUGCCAAGGGACUCCUGCAAUCUGCCAUAAAGAACCAGGGCUGGUUAGUGCUCUUUGGAGGGAUAAUGGCUAUAGUAUGUGUCUGGGUCCUGUGGCCGGGAGUGGCCGGCUGGCUCCUGAAAUUCGGUGAUUUUCAGGAUGGUUCCCAGACCCAAGCUGGCACCAGUGGCAACUGGGGCUGGUUUGAGAGUGCCA
Molecule: long non-coding RNA, 676 nt
Organism: Camarhynchus parvulus
Lineage: Eukaryota; Metazoa; Chordata; Aves; Passeriformes; Thraupidae
Exons: 4
Source: RefSeq, a predicted model, not a curated record